Molecule: unclassified non-coding RNA, 706 nt
Filed under: Hevea brasiliensis (rubber tree)
Lineage: Eukaryota; Viridiplantae; Streptophyta; Magnoliopsida; Malpighiales; Euphorbiaceae
Source: RNAcentral
CAAGGAUUGCUCGGCUAUUUCAGGUACGAAAUACGAAUGUGUUUCUUGGAUGCUAGAUUUCCAUAUACCUAUAUGUUCAAUGCAAGUUGAGAUCGAUUUUGACUUGACUUUAUCGUCAUUGUCGGUUUACUUUAUCUUCAUUCUCGGUUUUGCUUCAACCUUUUUCAAGUAACUUUUGAUAAGAAGAAAAUGGGAUCCUAGUCAGACUGUAGUUGAAAAAUUCUGCAUCAUCAUUGAAAUUUUAAUAAUUUUGCUAAAUGCUGAUUGGAUGUAAUCUGAUUGGUAUAUUCACAAGCAUGAUUGGACUGUAAUGCUUAAUGCACAUGAUGAUCUAUUUGACCUUUUUCUUUAAAUAAUAUUUAGUUGAAGUAAGAAAUAACUUUAAAAAAUUAAAUUUUUUGAGGUAGGAAACAAAAGAUUAAAGGUGGUGGUAAUAAAAGCAAAUGCAAGAGUAGAUUAGGGAUUAAAACUAUCAAUUGACCGAAACAAAAGAGAGAAAUUAAAGGGAAUAGAGAACUGACAUUAUCGAAGUAGUCUUCUGAGAAAGAGUCAAGCUCAAUCGCCCCAAGGUAAUCUUUUCUUGUUUCCGUUUUGCUUGUGGAGAUUGAACUGCAUACAGAAAACUGUAAAGAGAAGGAAACACAACUUGUGAAAUAUGUCUCCAGGUGUGAAUUUGCAUCAUGUCAACGAAUUGAUUUUUUUUUUC